RNAcentral lists this ribosomal RNA (253 nucleotides) under uncultured bacterium. RNAcentral describes it as "partial 16S ribosomal RNA". It matches the Rfam family "Bacterial small subunit ribosomal RNA", at positions 524 to 776 of the family's 1533-position model. The record is from RNAcentral.
UACGAAGGGGGCUAGCGUUGCUCGGAAUCACUGGGCGUAAAGCGCACGUAGGCGGAUUUGUUAGUCAGGGGUGAAAUCCCGGGGCUCAACCUCGGAACUGCCUUUGAUACUGCAAAUCUCGAGUCCGGAAGAGGUGAGUGGAAUUCCUAGUGUAGAGGUGAAAUUCGUAGAUAUUAGGAAGAACACCAGUGGCGAAGGCGGCUCACUGGUCCGGUACUGACGCUGAGGUGCGAAAGCGUGGGGAGCAAACAGG